RNAcentral lists this ribosomal RNA (409 nucleotides) under Coelotinae sp. ZZ071. RNAcentral describes it as "partial 28S ribosomal RNA". Lineage: Eukaryota; Metazoa; Arthropoda; Arachnida; Araneae; Agelenidae. The record is from RNAcentral.
UCCGGUAGGGCUUCCCCGAGCGGGGGCCGUCCGGUCGCACGCAGCGCCGUCGCACCCGACGCAUUUGUCUCUCGUCCGAAGGACGCCGCAGCCGGCUGGGUAGUGCAAGCGCGACGACCUGAGGGGCGGAAGAUGGCAGGUGGCCGCUGGCGUGCCUCGUGCGCGUCGGCGGUUGUUAGCCGUUCCGUCGGUGGUCCGUCACCCGGCCGAGGUGUCGCGAGGCCCUUCGGGGCCUCAUCGCCUCCUCCUUUGAGUCGCGGGUCAGAGUGUCGCAGGUGGAAUCCGUCGUCCCGUUCGCACCCCUCCGGGGUGGUCGGGCGAACGGAGGCCUCCGUUGGUGGCGCCGGACCCGUUGGAGGCUGGAGGCUUGCGGCGAGUAGGUCGGUCACCCACCCGACCCGUCUUGAAA